UGUUUCAGUACAAUUAACAUACACUCAGCCAAAUAACCUUAAGAUUUCCAUAAGGUCCAACUUAUGAAACGGCCUUUAAAUAAUUCAUAAUGAUUCGGAUGAAUUUCAUAAGGUCACUCUAUGACGUAAAAUCGUCUCGCAGCUUGGCUUUUAUUGAUGUUUAGCAACUUGGUAUUCUCAAGCGUCGGUAGCCGUGUGGAUAAAACACGGGCUCGGUGAUCCCGACGUUCAUGGAUCGAAUCCAGUCUGCAUCAUUUUAAGAUUUUUUUGUUCUUUUCAUAAGCCUAUCUUAUGAAAUUUGUCAUAGCAACACGGAGAAAAAUAAUUAGUAAUCACAAACGGAAUUCGGUUUAGUUUAACCGGAUUUUUGGUUUGAAUUCGGCACAACCGGUAUAUUAGUUUGAUUUGACUACCCGUGGUAGUUGUUAUUAACUAAAGUAUUGGUUUGUUUCUCUGACGCCUCAGCGGUUAAUUUCUACAACCGUCCGUUUGAAAAUACCAUUAAGUUGGUUGUUUCGUUUUGACAGUAGAGGAUAUAAACGAUUUUGUUUGUUGUUUCAACUGCCGUAUGCCGUUUGUUUUUAACAAGCUUUGGUUUGUUUUCUGUGUGCAUUUACCAUUUAAAACAAUCCAAACUGUUAGUUGAAACUACAAACCCCUCCGGUUGAAUCACCUCCACCCCCCUACUACCCAAAACCACCCUUUUUCGAUGACAAAAGAAAAGUUUUUUUUUAAAGCUGUAAAAUGCACAUAUUUAUUUUCCGUAAAACAAUACUUAAUAUAAUUCGCUGAAAACAUCUUUUUUGUUCUGGUCAAGUUUUAGAUGCCGUGCCGUUACCUUUUCCCAUAAAUUAUCUGACAUAACUAUUAUAAUAACGAAAUAUCACAUGCUGACGAUGCCGGAUCUUUGCUAGCGGCUCGACUUUCACGGCGUUCCUUGAUUACAACUUUCCUCCGGCAUACAUUCAUUUCAUCUUAAAACACAACGAGAAUCACGGCGCAGAAUCAAAAUCCAGCAGAUUGGCAACCCGGAUAAAAACGAACAAUUAAGGCUAUGGGAGAAACAAUUGAAAAACAACAGAUUCUUAUGUUAACAUUGCUUUCUAAUGUGAAUGUAUUAUACAGUAUUUUUAAAAUUAAAUUCUUUAUAGUGAUUACAAUAGGUUUACAUUAGAUUCCAUGGUUACAUAGCCAAAUAAUAGAUUAACAUUUGAAUUCAUUGUUAUUUUUGGAUUCAGCGUUCAAACCAUUAGUUUACAAUAGAAUGUAUCAGUAACAUUGAAAUGUACCGUUUUUCAAUGGUCUGGACGUUUCAGAAAAAAAAACAGCUUUUGAGUAAUUCCGAAACAGUGUGUAUCGAUGACAGCCAAGUUUCGUUGAAAUCAGCUCGGUCGUCGGCGGUAAGAAAUUUCGAAGAGUAGUUUCGUGUGCGGAAAAAUGUGGAAAAUUCACGCUCAACUGCGUAAAUUUUCCGCACGGUAGUAAAUAUAGUGUGGUGCAGUGCUAAAUCCUUGGCUACAUCAUUCAACAGUAGCGGCAUUUCAACAGUCACAAGGACGUCAAGCCGGUGCAUAAGCAAUCAACCCAGAGCUUGUUCCGAUGAAUGCGCACGAUCUGGAUUGGUUCCUGCGGAGAAAAGAGGGCGAGGGCAAGGUGCACUGCGAAGAGUACGGCCGGAUGCUGAAUGCCGAUCUAAGCAAGAUCUGCAUAAGGGACAAAUAGUAUAAUAGACUUAUUGUAAAAACUCUGAUUUUUUCCAUUCCUUUAAUUUGACUGCAAUAGUUUUAUCAUCAAACUCUUUUGGUGAAAUCAAAUGUGAAACUGAGUAGAACCGUAGAGCCAUCUUUUGCAUUUGGUAGCUUUGUAAGGUCUUUUAAUAUAGGUUCGCUCUUUAAACACGGAAUACAUGCAUGCGUUUGAAUCAAAUUCUAAAUUGUAUGUUGUAUUCCACAAGCUGUAGUUCAUCAAAUGUUCUUAAGUGCUGCAAUAAUGGUUAAACACGCUGUAAUGUUACAUUUGUACCUCAUCACCCACUAAUUGCAGCUACAUUAGUGGACUAAUAACACUUAGCGCGCUUCGGCACGGUUCCAUCAUGCCGCUUAUAGUGUUGCCACAUAUAAUGCUUAGUCUGCUAAACCCAGUUAUCUGGCUGGUGGGGCAUGGGAGCCUAAGUUUCGACCAUCAAUGCAAUCAGACGUUAUUUGAACUACAAAAUGAGCGAUCCAAAUAUUUGAAGAACUAAAACUAUAUAGAAGCUUGUGUAUAAUCAACAUUUAACGAACCUAAUCUAUGCAAUAUUUUGCAUUUUAACACUUCGAACGAUCUUCAAGUAUAGGUUCAAGUUGUAGUAUAUCGAGUAUUUUUAAGUGCUACAAUGAAGGUUAAGCACGCUGUAAUGUUACUUUUGUACCUCAUCACCCACUAAAUGCAACUACAUUAGUGGUCUAAUAACACUUAGCGCGCUUCGGCACGGUUCCAUCAUGCCGCUUAUAGUGUUGCCACAUAUAAUGCUUAGUCUGCUAAACCCAGUUAUCUGGCUGUGGGGCAUGGGAGCCAACGCUUCAAUCAUCAAUGCAAUUAAACAUUACUCGGUUUACUACAUGAGUGAUCCAAAUAUUUCAUAAUUGUUCGAUCUGUUUUUUGAAAUGUAGCUUAAAAUAUACAAGCUUCUAGUCCAAAUGCAUAAUAAUAGUUCAAUUUCGCUUCAUUCAGGAUUUACUCAAGCAGUUUAUAUUUUUUGGUCAGUUAAACUUAGAGGCUUCCUUAGAGGUUGAAGUUAGAAUUUUCUGUUUCACAAUAGAAAACAAUUUCCUUGACAAUUUCCAAACCAUUCGAUUUAAUGUAAAAAUAGUGCAAAACAGUAUGUUCUGUAUCACAAUAGACAACAAUUUCAAAACAAUUGAAUCUAACGUGGAGCCAGUAAUAAAGUCACUGCUCAAAGCAACACGUUUACCGUACAUUUCACUGUUUAGAACAAUUUAAAAACAUAAGAAUCUUCUGUAUUACGAUAGAAAACAAUUCCCACACCAUUGAAUCAAUUGUGGAACCAGGAGUGAAAUCACUACUCAGAACAAUACGUUUACCGUUCGAUUCACUGUUUGAAACAAUUCGAAAACAUAAGAAUCUUCUGUAUCAUAAUAGAAAACAAUACCCAAACAAUUGAAUACAAUGUAAAAACAGUACAAACAGUAUGUUGUCUUCACAAUAGAAAACAAUUUCAAUACAAUUGAAUCAAAUGUGGAACCAGAAAUAAAAUUACUACCCAAAACAAUACGUUUACUGAGCAUUUCACUGUUUGAAACAAUUCGAAAACAUAAGAAUCUUCUGUAUCACAUUAGAAAACCAUGCCCAAACCAUUGAAUCUAAUGUAAAAUCAAAGUUUAAAACAGUAUGUUUUCUGCUUAUUUAACUGUUCAAAACAAUACAAAUACAUAAAAAUCUUCUGUAUAUUUGAUACCACGUAUCGGUAUUACCAACAUUUCAUUUACAUUAGAAUCUUAUGUUUUGCGAAAAAAUAUGUAUGGAAAAAAGUCCUUUUUUGUAUUGUUAUGAUACUUAACAACCUAUACAAUUCAAUGUGAAAUCCUCAUUCACAUUUGAUUCUAUUGUUAGAAACAUUUGAUUCUAUUGUUUUUCUAUUGUUAUUUUAACAUUGAAUUCUAUUGUGAGAGCAUGGUUUUCAGUGGUACUGUCACAUUAGAAUCCUAUGUUUUUCUAUUGUAUUUUUUAUCCGGGAAACCAAAUAUCCAUCCCACCGGGGAUCCGGGCCAAGAUUCAAGGCCAUUGUUUCACGUAGCUACUGUUUUCUGAAAAUCAAUGAUAUUCAAGACUAUCGUUUCACACAUUUAAUAUUCAAAUAUUUGAACUUACCUGGAGCUGUAAAGCGUUAUGAAAUAAUAAAAAAUAGCAGAAGAUUUUACAAUACUAAACUGCUCGAUCACUGAUCAGACUUCGCAAAAUGAGAAAAAUGUGGAAUGUGGCUUGUGAAAUAAGGAAAAAGAAAAAAGAACAAAAACAAACCAGCAACUUGGUUUGGUUUGAACUAUUAUGUUUGUUGUUUUUUCGUUAACCGGAAUAUUGGUUUGUUUUAACCACAGGGAUGGUAGAAUCAAACUAAUAUUGUGGUUUGUGUAUGCCGGUUGAAUUAACCUUAGAUUUAGUAAAAUUAAACGGUUGCAUUCCGGUAAAAAUGACAAAUAGUAGUUCAAAGUAACUGACGCCCUUCGUUAUUAUGAAGGAAAAAGCUGGCAGUAGAAACAACAAAUUUUACGGUUUGUAUCGAACCAAAAUAGUGGUGUAAAAACAACAAAUGUUCGAUUUGAAAUUACUAUUUUGUUGGUUUAUGAAUCAACAAACGUGUUUGUUGUUUCAAACUGUCGUGCUUUUUCUCCGUGAA
Aedes albopictus (Asian tiger mosquito) is the source of this 4396-nucleotide long non-coding RNA. RefSeq lists it as uncharacterized. The transcript is spliced from 2 exons. Lineage: Eukaryota; Metazoa; Arthropoda; Insecta; Diptera; Culicidae. The record is from RefSeq and is a predicted model, not a curated record.